Molecule: ribosomal RNA, 466 nt
Filed under: uncultured bacterium
Lineage: Bacteria
Description: partial 16S ribosomal RNA
Rfam family: Bacterial small subunit ribosomal RNA
Source: RNAcentral
GAUGAACGUUGGCGGCGUGCUUAACACAUGCAAGUCGAACGGAAAGGCUCCUGCUUGCAGGGGUACUCGAGUGGCGAACGGGUGAGUAACACGUGGGUGAUCUGCCCAGCACUUCGGGAUAAGCCUGGGAAACUGGGUCUAAUACCGGAUAGGACGAUGGUUUGGAUGCCAUUGUGGAAAGUUUUUUCGGUGUGGGAUGAGCUCGCGGCCUAUCAGCUUGUUGGUGGGGUAAUGGCCUACCAAGGCGUCGACGGGUAGCCGGCCUGAGAGGGUGUACGGCCACAUUGGGACUGAGAUACGGCCCAGACUCCUACGGGAGGCAGCAGUGGGGAAUAUUGCACAAUGGGCGCAAGCCUGAUGCAGCGACGCCGCGUGGGGGAUGACGGCCUUCGGGUUGUAAACUCCUUUCGCUAGGGACGAAGCGCAAGUGACGGUACCUGGAGAAGAAGCACCGGCUAACUACGUG